AUAAUGAACUCUUAAAAAUCUGAAGAAAACUCUGGCUGUUUUGUAACUUUGUAGUAAUUGACUUAUCCCGUUAACGUUUUCACUUAUUUGUUGCAAAACAAAAAUAUACUAUUUUAUGUCAUGUUCCCGAGAGGCGAAACUCGGAGAGGUCAGUUAUAGUCAUGGACGCACACACAAGUUAUGAGGUUAUAUCGUCAAAUAAUGUGUUAAUUAAUUGUAUCUAAAGGAGAAAAAUUAUUGCUACUGGCAAUCAUUGGUAAAGUCCCUUUCAAUUCCAUUAAGUACCCGCUUGAUAUUGCGUAUUUGUUCAAAAUAUUUUAUUCCAUCGUGACCGUGUCACGACUUGUCAGACAUAAGUUAUUUAAUGUUUUACCUCUUGGUGGAUUAUAAAAAAACUAUAUAAAAGCAGUCGAUACUCUAGCAGCCUUUGUGGCUCUAAAGAUGUUAUGUAAUUGGAUCCUCAAGUUAUUGGGUUCCCAAGUCACCACUGAACUCAGUGGGUAUAAGGAGAUAGAAUUGUGUAUGAUGGGAGGUGUUGUAGUUUACAAAAAGACCAAAAUUAACGAAGGAAGGGAGUUAGAUUGCAUUGCAGUGAUGUCAAGCUCAUUUAUCUUCAAAUAAAACUCAAAAGCCUAAAAUUAUUUAAUGGUUUACUUCUUAAGACGUGAAUCAGGUGUUGAAGGUAACUUCAGACUGGACAGUCCUGCCACCAGCGAGCGCAUGAGAAUGGCUUGUGUCGACCAGUUCAUUGAACAAUUUACCUCCGAUGAGGAUUCCAGAGUUGAGAACUUUAACGUGUACCCUUAAAGAAAGGAACGUUCAACGUCUGAAGUGUGCAAAGAAAACGAACAUCUUAAAAUAAUCAUUGUGACAGUUGUCACCAAAAAUCUUGCAUUAUUAAAUUAUUAUAUUAUA
Molecule: long non-coding RNA, 915 nt
Organism: Orbicella faveolata
Lineage: Eukaryota; Metazoa; Cnidaria; Anthozoa; Scleractinia; Merulinidae
Source: RefSeq, a predicted model, not a curated record